Molecule: ribosomal RNA, 369 nt
Filed under: Triticum aestivum (bread wheat)
Lineage: Eukaryota; Viridiplantae; Streptophyta; Magnoliopsida; Poales; Poaceae
Description: partial small subunit ribosomal RNA
Source: RNAcentral
CGUGGAGUCAUUCUUACUAAAGAUAACCUUAUUAAGAGGAAUUGGCAUCGAAGUCCGCAAUGUGUCUUUUGUCAUCAUGGUGAGACAAUAAAAUAUUUAUUGUUGCAAUGCAAAUUGGCUCAUUCUAUAUGGUCAGUCAUCCAGAUAGCUUCUAGCUUGUAUCCUCCUUGUAGUAUUGCUAAUGUAUUUGGCAGUUGGUUACAUGAGAUAGAUCACAGGUUUAGAACUCUUCUUAGGGUGGGAGCGCUUGUCAUUAUUUGGUCGCUUUGGCUAUAUAGAAAUGAUAAGGUUUUUAGCGAUAAAAGUACUUCUCUGAUGCAGGUUAUCUAUAGAUGUACUGGGACUCUUCGUUCAUGGUUAUCUCUAUAA